UCCCAUGUGGUCUAGUGGUCAGGAUUCCUGGUUUUCACCCAGGUGGCCUAGGUUCAAUUUCACGUAUGGGAA
RNAcentral lists this transfer RNA (72 nucleotides) under Perca fluviatilis (European perch). It matches the Rfam family "tRNA". Rfam says of the family: Transfer RNA (tRNA) molecules are approximately 80 nucleotides in length. Their secondary structure includes four short double-helical elements and three loops (D, anti-codon, and T loops). Further hydrogen bonds mediate the characteristic L-shaped molecular structure. tRNAs have two regions of fundamental functional importance: the anti-codon, which is responsible for specific mRNA codon recognition, and the 3' end, to which the tRNAs corresponding amino acid is attached (by aminoacyl-tRNA synthetases). tRNAs cope with the degeneracy of the genetic code in two manners: having more than one tRNA (with a specific anti-codon) for a particular amino acid; and 'wobble' base-pairing, i.e. permitting non-standard base-pairing at the 3rd anti-codon position. The record is from Rfam by way of RNAcentral. Lineage: Eukaryota; Metazoa; Chordata; Actinopteri; Perciformes; Percidae.